This 119-nucleotide ribosomal RNA is filed under the name Helianthus annuus (common sunflower). Lineage: Eukaryota; Viridiplantae; Streptophyta; Magnoliopsida; Asterales; Asteraceae. The record is from RNAcentral.
GGUUGCGAUCAUACCAGCACUAAUGCACCGGAUCCCAUCAGAACUCCGCAGUUAAGCGUGCUUGGACGAGAGUAGUACUAGGAUGGGUGACCCCCUGGGAAGUCCUCGUGUUGCAACCU